UGGGGAAUUUUGGACAAUGGGCGAAAGCCUGAUCCAGCAAUGCCGCGUGUGUGAAGAAGGCCUUCGGGUUGUAAAGCACUUUUGUCCGGAAAGAAAUCCUUGGCUCUAAUAUAGUCGGGGGAUGACGGUACCGGAAGAAUAAGCACCGGCUAACUACGUGCCAGCAGCCGCGGUAAUACGUAGGGUGCAAGCGUUAAUCGGAAUUACUGGGCGUAAAGCGUGCGCAGGCGGUUUGCUAAGACCGAUGUGAAAUCCCCGGGCUCAACCUGGGAACUGCAUUGGUGACUGGCAGGCUAGAGUAUGGCAGAGGGGGGUAGAAUUCCACGUGUAGCAGUGAAAUGCGUAGAGAUGUGGAGGAAUACCGAUGGCGAAGGCAGCCCCCUGGGCCAAUACUGACGCUCAUGCACGAAAGCGUGGGGAGCAAACAGGAUUAGAUACCCUGGUAGUCCACGCCCUAAACGAUGUCAACUAGUUGUGGGGAUUCAUUCCUUAGUAACGUAGCUAACGCGUGAAGUUGACCGCCUGGGGAGUACGGUCGCAAGAUUAAAACUUAAAUGAAUUGAC
Molecule: ribosomal RNA, 564 nt
Filed under: uncultured bacterium
Lineage: Bacteria
Description: partial 16S ribosomal RNA
Rfam family: Bacterial small subunit ribosomal RNA
Source: RNAcentral